Molecule: ribosomal RNA, 490 nt
Filed under: uncultured bacterium
Lineage: Bacteria
Description: partial 16S ribosomal RNA
Rfam family: Bacterial small subunit ribosomal RNA
Source: RNAcentral
AUUGAACGCUGGCGGCAGGCCUAACACAUGCAAGUCGAACGGUAACAGGGAUCAGCUUGCUGAUUCGCUGACGAGUGGCGGACGGGUGAGUAAUGUCUGGGAAACUGCCUGAUGGAGGGGGAUAACUACUGGAAACGGUAGCUAAUACCGCAUAACGUCGCAAGACCAAAGAGGGGGACCUUCGGGCCUCUUGCCAUCGGAUGUGCCCAGAUGGGGUUAGCUAGUAGGUGGGGUAACGGCUCACCUAGGCGACGAUCCCUAGCUGGUCUGAGAGGAUGACCAGCCACACUGGAACUGAGACACGGUCCAGACUCCUACGGGAGGCAGCAGUGGGGAAUAUUGCACAAUGGGCGCAAGCCUGAUGCAGCCAUGCCGCGUGUAUGAAGAAGGCCUUCGGGUUGUAAAGUACUUUCAGCGGGGAGGAAGGGAGUAAAGUUAAUACCUUUGCUCAUUGACGUUACCCGCAGAAGAAGCACCGGCUAACUCCGUG